Non-coding RNA from Paramuricea clavata, 72 nucleotides. The record is from the annotation of a GenBank genome assembly. NCBI's taxonomy places the organism in Eukaryota, Metazoa, Cnidaria, Anthozoa, Malacalcyonacea, Plexauridae.
GACCGCGUAGCUCAGUUGGCAGAGCAUUGGGCUGGUAUUCCAAAGGUCGUAGGUUCGAUUCCCACCGUGGCA